GGUCUGCAUCCUACCUCGGCCGGAUUCGUCGGCCGGUUACGUCACAGCGCCGCGACUCGGCCUGUCCCAUUUCGAAGACUCCUUCAAAUGCGGUCGACGAAUGCGGCCUUCUUUUCGCCUGAAUGAAGGAUGGGUCCGGUGUAUCCUUCAAUAGGUAGCAUUUCCCAAGAUGCCUUGCGGGCCGGCCGGCAGAAAAACUUAAAAACAAUGGCGGACAGUGAAGCGGGAGCUGUCGGAGAGGAUUGCGCAUAUAAAUGUAAGUAUAAACUUGAAAACUGUCAGUUUAAGGACUUUUUGUGAUACAUGAACGUUAUUUUAGUUAGAAAUGUUACAGUAAAAGUGCUUGUAUUGCGGUCUCGGCUCGUAUGUUCGGCCGCGCUCGGUGUCGUACUUCUCCCACUACGUUUCCCCCUGAUUUUAAUAGAAGUUUGUAUUUUAGGACCAAAAGAGAAAACCAGGGAAUUUAUUAAGCUUAGGGCGGAGAUGGACCACAUGAUCACCGGAGCAAAGUAUUCGGCGGCUGUGGCAUGGAGACUAUUCUGGAGAAAAUGGGCAUCCAGGGGAAGGUGCCAGCGAUGAGCUUCUGGAGCUGAUCUGGGAGGACAUGAGGCUGCAGAGCAGCAGAGAGCACAGGAGAGAAGGAAGAACUUUGACAGCUUUUUACUUUGCUAGAAAAAAAUGGUUAAUGAAGAUUAAACAUGUACAUAUAAAAGAAAUAUCUAAAUAAAAUCAGUUCUGCAUUAAA
Non-coding RNA from Nothobranchius furzeri (turquoise killifish), 745 nucleotides. The record is from RefSeq and is a predicted model, not a curated record. NCBI's taxonomy places the organism in Eukaryota, Metazoa, Chordata, Actinopteri, Cyprinodontiformes, Nothobranchiidae.